AGACCGGGGCUUUCAACCACUCAGCCAUCUCUCC
RNAcentral lists this transfer RNA (34 nucleotides) under Artemisia tridentata (big sagebrush). RNAcentral describes it as "partial tRNA-Ser". The record is from RNAcentral. RNAcentral also lists the same sequence under 3 other names. Lineage: Eukaryota; Viridiplantae; Streptophyta; Magnoliopsida; Asterales; Asteraceae.